This 428-nucleotide ribosomal RNA is filed under the name uncultured Bacteriovorax sp. RNAcentral describes it as "bacterial SSU rRNA". It matches the Rfam family "Bacterial small subunit ribosomal RNA", at positions 355 to 774 of the family's 1533-position model. The record is from RNAcentral. Lineage: Bacteria; Pseudomonadati; Bdellovibrionota; Bacteriovoracia; Bacteriovoracales; Bacteriovoracaceae.
UGGGGAAUAUUGCGCAAUGGGGGAAACCCUGACGCAGCAACGCCGCGUGAGUGAGGAAGGACUUCGGUCUGUAAAGCUCUGUUAAUGUGGAAAAAUGGUAGCUGGUCUAAUAGGCCGGCUAUUUGAUGGUACACAUAGAGGAAGCACCGGCUAACUUCGUGCCAGCAGCCGCGGUAAUACGAAGGGUGCAAGCGUUGUUCGGAUUUAUUGGGCGUAAAGCGCGCGUAGGCGGACCUGCAAGUAAGAUGUGAAAUCUCGGGGCUCAACCUCGAAACUGCGUCUUAAACUACAGGUCUAGAAUCUCGGAGGGGGAAGGGGAAUAUCGCAUGUAGGGGUAAAAUCCGUAGAUAUGCGAUGGAGCACCAGAGGCGAAGGCGCCUUCCUGGACGAGUAUUGACGCUGAGGCGCGAAAGCGUGGGGAUCAAACA